This 465-nucleotide ribosomal RNA is filed under the name uncultured bacterium. Its description in RNAcentral is "partial 16S ribosomal RNA". It matches the Rfam family "Bacterial small subunit ribosomal RNA", at positions 28 to 507 of the family's 1533-position model. The record is from RNAcentral.
GACGAACGCUGGCGGCGUGCUUAACACAUGCAAGUCGAACGGAAAGGCCCUGCUUGCAGGGUACUCGAGUGGCGAACGGGUGAGUAACACGUGGGUGAUCUGCCCUGCACUUCGGGAUAAGCCUGGGAAACUGGGUCUAAUACCGGAUAGGAGCCAUUUUUAGUGUGAUGGUUGGAAAGUUUUUUCGGUGUAGGAUGAGCUCGCGGCCUAUCAGCUUGUUGGUGGGGUAAUGGCCUACCAAGGCGGCGACGGGUAGCCGGCCUGAGAGGGUGGACGGCCACAUUGGGACUGAGAUACGGCCCAGACUCCUACGGGAGGCAGCAGUGGGGAAUAUUGCACAAUGGGCGCAUGCCUGAUGCAGCGACGCCGCGUGGGGGAUGACGGCCUUCGGGUUGUAAACUCCUUUCGCUAGGGACGAAGCUUUUUGUGACGGUACCUAGAUAAGAAGCACCGGCUAACUACGUG